Molecule: ribosomal RNA, 304 nt
Filed under: uncultured bacterium
Lineage: Bacteria
Description: partial 16S ribosomal RNA
Rfam family: Bacterial small subunit ribosomal RNA
Source: RNAcentral
CAGCAGCAGCCGCGGUAACACGAAGGGUGCAAGCGUUAAUCGGAAUUACUGGGCGUAAAGCGUGCGUAGGCGGUGAGUUAAGUCUGCUGUGAAAUCCCCGGGCUCAACCUGGGAAUGGCAGUGGAUACUGGCUCGCUAGAGUGUGUCAGAGGAUGGUGGAAUUCCCGGUGUAGCGGUGAAAUGCGUAGAGAUCGGGAGGAACAUCAGUGGCGAAGGCGGCCAUCUGGGACAACACUGACGCUGAGGCACGAAAGCGUGGGGAGCAAACAGGAUUAGAUACCCCAGUAGUCCCUGUCUCUUAUAC